Molecule: ribosomal RNA, 486 nt
Filed under: uncultured bacterium
Lineage: Bacteria
Description: partial 16S ribosomal RNA
Rfam family: Bacterial small subunit ribosomal RNA
Source: RNAcentral
AUUGAACGCUGGCGGCAUGCCUUACACAUGCCAGUCGAACGGCAGCACGGGUGCUUGCACCUGGUGGCGAGUGGCGAACGGGUGAGUAAUACAUCGGAGCAUGUCCUGUAGUGGGGGAUAGCCCGGCGAAAGCCGGAUUAAUACCGCAUACGAUCUACGGAUGAAAGCGGGGGACCUUCGGGCCUCGCGCUAUAGGGUUGGCCGAUGGCUGAUUAGCUAGUUGGUGGGGUAAAGGCCUACCAAGGCGACGAUCAGUAGCUGGUCUGAGAGGACGACCAGCCACACUGGGACUGAGACACGGCCCAGACUCCUACGGGAGGCAGCAGUGGGGAAUUUUGGACAAUGGGCGAAAGCCUGAUCCAGCAAUGCCGCGUGUGUGAAGAAGGCCUUCGGGUUGUAAAGCACUUUUGUCCGGAAAGAAAUCCUUGGCCCUAAUACGGUCGGGGGAUGACGGUACCGGAAGAAUAAGCACCGGCUAACUACGUG